UACGUAGGGCGCAAGCGUUGUCCGGAAUUAUUGGGCGUAAAGAGCUCGUAGGCGGCCUGUCGCGUCGACCGUGAAAACCCGCAGCUCAACUGCGGGCUUGCGGUCGAUACGGGCAGGCUGGAGUUCGGUAGGGGAGGCUGGAAUUCCUGGUGUAGCGGUGAAAUGCGCAGAUAUCAGGAGGAACACCGGUGGCGAAGGCGGGUCUCUGGGCCGAUACUGACGCUGAGGAGCGAAAGCGUGGGGAGCGAACAGG
This 253-nucleotide ribosomal RNA is filed under the name uncultured bacterium. RNAcentral describes it as "partial 16S ribosomal RNA". It matches the Rfam family "Bacterial small subunit ribosomal RNA", at positions 524 to 776 of the family's 1533-position model. The record is from RNAcentral.